UAGUGAGACUGUGGACGGCUCAGUAAAUCAGUUAUAAUCUGUUCGAAAGUAUGCCCAUUGGAUAACCGUGGGAAAUCUAGAGCUAAUACAUGUAGCAGGGCGUUUAGCGAUAGACGUCGGCAUUUAUUAGAAAAAACCGGGUACUGUGUGAACAGUAGGGUGAGUCUAGAUAACUGAGCAGAUCGCAUGGCCUAGAGCCGGCGACGUUUCGAUUGAAUUUCUGCCCUAUCAACUCGUUGGUAAGGUAGAGGCUUACCAAGGUUGCAACGGGUAACGGGGAAUCAGGGUUCGAUUCCGGAGAGGGAGCCUGAGAAACGGCUACCACAUCCAAGGAAGGCAGCAGGCGCGUAAAUUACCCAAUCCAGACAAUGGGAGGUGGCGAACAAAAGUACUGAAUGGUAGAUGUUUAUCUACUAAAUUCGGAAUGAGCAUAAAGUAAAAAGUUAGUCGAGUAACAACUGGAGGGCAAGUCUGGUGCCAGCAGCCGCGGUAAUUCCAGCUCCAGUAGCGUGUAGUAAAGUUGUUGCGUUUAAAACGCUCGUAGUUGGAUGAUACGGUGCUAAUCGGUUGAUCGAUGCAAUGAGCAAGUAAACUUGCAAAGGGGCGAUCAUUGGUUGAUUCUAGUGAGGACUCUGAUGUGAGUGUUCAGAGUGGAGGUUGUAAGCCGAGUAGUGCUACUUGCAUGCGAGAACGGCAGUUGGCCUUUAGUGCGUUGAUUGUUGUGUCUCGCAGAGUGUGCCUUGAAUAAAUCAGAGUGCUUAAAGCAGGUCGUAGCCUGAAUGAUACAGCAUGGAACGAACAAACGUGUAAGUGUGCGUUGGAAACGGGAAACCGAUCGAGCGUACAUAUCACCAGCCACUGGUACGGAUGUCGGUUUCCGUACAAGGGUGAUGAUUAAAACGAGCGGUUGGGGGCAUUGGUAUUUGGCCGCGAGAGGUGAAAUUCUUAGACCGGCCAAGGACUAACAAAAGCGAAGGCAUUUGCCAAGACCGUCUCGAUUGAUCAAGAACGAUAGUGAGAGGUUCGAAGACGAUCAGAUACCGUCCUAGUUCUCACCGUAAACAAUGCCGACCCGGGAUCAGUUUGGAGCUAAUAUCAACGCUCGAGGUUGGUCCCCCUGGGAAACCUAAAGUGUUUGGGUUACGGGGGGAGUAUGGUCGCAAGGCUGAAACUUAAAGGAAUUGACGGAAGGGCACCACCAGGGGUGGAGCCUGCGGCUUAAUUUGACUCAACACGGGACAACUUACCAGCGCAGAACGUUAAAAGGAUAAUCUGACCGACAGCUCAUAUUUGAUAUGAUGUGUGGUGGUGCAUGGCCGUUCUUAGUUCGUGAAGCGAUUUGUCAGGUUGAUUCCGGUAACGGACGAGAUCUUGGUCUCCGUUUACGAUGCGGAAUUGUGAGGUCAACUCACACAGGGGAGGUAGCCGUUGAAAGCGAAAGCUGAAUAUGGAUGCCAACCUAGGUUUCUGCAAUGUCAAUGUUGGCAACAACAGUGACUGCACGGAGAGACAACUGAAUUAUAAAUCAGAGUAAGGAUAGGCGAUAACAGGUCUGUGAUGCCCUUAGACGUGCUGGGCUGCACGCGCGCUACAAUGAUGACGGCAACAAGCUAUCUGGUCCGAAAGGAUUGGGGAAUCUGGAAUCGUCAUCGUGAUGGGGACUGUCCAUUGUAACUUGGACAUGAAAUAGGAAUCCCUUGUACGUGCACUUCAUUCAAAGUGCGCGGAAUGAGUCCCUGCCCUUUGUACACACCGCCCGUCGCUACUACCGAGUGAAUGGUGUCAUGAUGCGUUGGGAGUGGACGCCGUUGGGGUUAACGCUCGAAUGGUGCUACAAUCAAUG
Molecule: ribosomal RNA, 1843 nt
Filed under: Henneguya nyongensis
Lineage: Eukaryota; Metazoa; Cnidaria; Myxozoa; Bivalvulida; Myxobolidae
Description: SSU rRNA
Rfam family: Eukaryotic small subunit ribosomal RNA
Source: RNAcentral